GUCUAAGGCCAUAGCACCCUGAACGGCCCUAUCUCAUUUGAUCUCGGAAGCUAAGCAGGGUCGGGCCUGGUUAGUACUUGGGUGGGAGACCACCUGGGCAUACCGGGUGCUGUAGGCU
This 118-nucleotide ribosomal RNA is filed under the name Bison bison bison. Lineage: Eukaryota; Metazoa; Chordata; Mammalia; Artiodactyla; Bovidae. The record is from RNAcentral.